GGUUAAGCGACUAAGCGUACACGGUGGAUGCCCUGGCAGUCAGAGGCGAUGAAGGACGUGCUAAUCUGCGAUAAGCGUCGGUAAGGUGAUAUGAACCGUUAUAACCGGCGAUUUCCGAAUGGGGAAACCCAGUGUGUUUCGACACACUAUCAUUAACUGAAUCCAUAGGUUAAUGAGGCGAACCGGGGGAACUGAAACAUCUAAGUACCCCGAGGAAAAGAAAUCAACCGAGAUUCCCCCAGUAGCGGCGAGCGAACGGGGAGCAGCCCAGAGCCUGAAUCAGUAUGUGUGUUAGUGGAAGCGUCUGGAAAGGCGCGCGAUACAGGGUGACAGCCCCGUACACAAAAAUGCACAUAUUGUGAGCUCGAUGAGUAGGGCGGGACACGUGGUAUCCUGUCUGAAUAUGGGGGGACCAUCCUCCAAGGCUAAAUACUCCUGACUGACCGAUAGUGAACCAGUACCGUGAGGGAAAGGCGAAAAGAACCCCGGCGAGGGGAGUGAAAAAGAACCUGAAACCGUGUACGUACAAGCAGUGGGAGCACGCUUAGGCGUGUGACUGCGUACCUUUUGUAUAAUGGGUCAGCGACUUAUAUUCUGUAGCAAGGUUAACCGAAUAGGGGAGCCGAAGGGAAACCGAGUCUUAACUGGGCGUUAAGUUGCAGGGUAUAGACCCGAAACCCGGUGAUCUAGCCAUGGGCAGGUUGAAGGUUGGGUAACACUAACUGGAGGACCGAACCGACUAAUGUUGAAAAAUUAGCGGAUGACUUGUGGCUGGGGGUGAAAGGCCAAUCAAACCGGGAGAUAGCUGGUUCUCCCCGAAAGCUAUUUAGGUAGCGCCUCGUGAAUUCAUCUCCGGGGGUAGAGCACUGUUUCGGCAAGGGGGUCAUCCCGACUUACCAACCCGAUGCAAACUGCGAAUACCGGAGAAUGUUAUCACGGGAGACACACGGCGGGUGCUAACGUCCGUCGUGAAGAGGGAAACAACCCAGACCGCCAGCUAAGGUCCCAAAGUCAUGGUUAAGUGGGAAACGAUGUGGGAAGGCCCAGACAGCCAGGAUGUUGGCUUAGAAGCAGCCAUCAUUUAAAGAAAGCGUAAUAGCUCACUGGUCGAGUCGGCCUGCGCGGAAGAUGUAACGGGGCUAAACCAUGCACCGAAGCUGCGGCAGCGACACUAUGUGUUGUUGGGUAGGGGAGCGUUCUGUAAGCCUGUGAAGGUGUGCUGUGAGGCAUGCUGGAGGUAUCAGAAGUGCGAAUGCUGACAUAAGUAACGAUAAAGCGGGUGAAAAGCCCGCUCGCCGGAAGACCAAGGGUUCCUGUCCAACGUUAAUCGGGGCAGGGUGAGUCGACCCCUAAGGCGAGGCCGAAAGGCGUAGUCGAUGGGAAACAGGUUAAUAUUCCUGUACUUGGUGUUACUGCGAAGGGGGACGGAGAAGGCUAUGUUGGCCGGGCGACGGUUGUCCCGGUUUAAGCGUGUAGGCUGGUUUUCCAGGCAAAUCCGGAAAAUCAAGGCUGAGGCGUGAUGACGAGGCACUACGGUGCUGAAGCAACAAAUGCCCUGCUUCCAGGAAAAGCCUCUAAGCAUCAGGUAACAUCAAAUCGUACCCCAAACCGACACAGGUGGUCAGGUAGAGAAUACCAAGGCGCUUGAGAGAACUCGGGUGAAGGAACUAGGCAAAAUGGUGCCGUAACUUCGGGAGAAGGCACGCUGAUAUGUAGGUGAAGUCCCUCGCGGAUGGAGCUGAAAUCAGUCGAAGAUACCAGCUGGCUGCAACUGUUUAUUAAAAACACAGCACUGUGCAAACACGAAAGUGGACGUAUACGGUGUGACGCCUGCCCGGUGCCGGAAGGUUAAUUGAUGGGGUUAGCCGCAAGGCGAAGCUCUUGAUCGAAGCCCCGGUAAACGGCGGCCGUAACUAUAACGGUCCUAAGGUAGCGAAAUUCCUUGUCGGGUAAGUUCCGACCUGCACGAAUGGCGUAAUGAUGGCCAGGCUGUCUCCACCCGAGACUCAGUGAAAUUGAACUCGCUGUGAAGAUGCAGUGUACCCGCGGCAAGACGGAAAGACCCCGUGAACCUUUACUAUAGCUUGACACUGAACAUUGAGCCUUGAUGUGUAGGAUAGGUGGGAGGCUUUGAAGUGUGGACGCCAGUCUGCAUGGAGCCGACCUUGAAAUACCACCCUUUAAUGUUUGAUGUUCUAACGUUGACCCGUAAUCCGGGUUGCGGACAGUGUCUGGUGGGUAGUUUGACUGGGGCGGUCUCCUCCUAAAGAGUAACGGAGGAGCACGAAGGUUGGCUAAUCCUGGUCGGACAUCAGGAGGUUAGUGCAAUGGCAUAAGCCAGCUUGACUGCGAGCGUGACGGCGCGAGCAGGUGCGAAAGCAGGUCAUAGUGAUCCGGUGGUUCUGAAUGGAAGGGCCAUCGCUCAACGGAUAAAAGGUACUCCGGGGAUAACAGGCUGAUACCGCCCAAGAGUUCAUAUCGACGGCGGUGUUUGGCACCUCGAUGUCGGCUCAUCACAUCCUGGGGCUGAAGUAGGUCCCAAGGGUAUGGCUGUUCGCCAUUUAAAGUGGUACGCGAGCUGGGUUUAGAACGUCGUGAGACAGUUCGGUCCCUAUCUGCCGUGGGCGCUGGAGAACUGAGGGGGGCUGCUCCUAGUACGAGAGGACCGGAGUGGACGCAUCACUGGUGUUCGGGUUGUCAUGCCAAUGGCACUGCCCGGUAGCUAAAUGCGGAAGAGAUAAGUGCUGAAAGCAUCUAAGCACGAAACUUGCCCCGAGAUGAGUUCUCCCUGACUCCUUGAGAGUCCUGAAGGAACGUUGAAGACGACGACGUUGAUAGGCCGGGUGUGUAAGCGCAGCGAUGCGUUGAGCUAACCGGUACUAAUGAACCGUGAGGCUUAACCUU
This 2904-nucleotide ribosomal RNA is filed under the name Escherichia coli. Its description in RNAcentral is "23S ribosomal RNA". It matches the Rfam family "Bacterial large subunit ribosomal RNA". The record is from RNAcentral. Lineage: Bacteria; Pseudomonadati; Pseudomonadota; Gammaproteobacteria; Enterobacterales; Enterobacteriaceae.